UCCCUGGUAGUAUAUCGGUUAGUACACGCGCCUGUCAUCGCCGUAAACUGUCUUUCGCGCGCGAAAGCGGGGUUCGACUCCCCGCCAGGGAG
This is a non-coding RNA of Fomitopsis schrenkii, 92 nucleotides long. The record is from the annotation of a GenBank genome assembly. NCBI's taxonomy places the organism in Eukaryota, Fungi, Basidiomycota, Agaricomycetes, Polyporales, Fomitopsidaceae.